CUACACUGGCAGGAUUCUUUACCACUGAGCCACUAAGGAAGCUUUACUUUUUACUCUAAGGGGCUGCAAAAGGCUGCUUCAUGGUCAGCAACCCACGCUGGUGCUACCCCAGGGUCCUGCGUCUGCGGGACCAAACCGCAAGAAGGAGCGACUGGAUGUGGACAGAAACGAUCACCAAGAUGAAUUCUGGACUCCACCAUUCGAAAAACAGCAGGUCCUCCUGCCGCUUCUUCUAACCCUCCGCCUGCCUCGCCUGCCCCCCCUCCGUCUCGGGCUGGAGGGGCGUCAGCCCAGGUGCCUCUGGAAGCUACACCUUGCCCUUCUUCAAAACAAGUUUAUAUCUGUAUCCAGAAGUGGAGUGUUUCCUGCCGUGUCAGCACACAAAGAUGUCACAGCCAUCGGCGAUUCCGGCCCUCCAAAUGUGAAUAUCUGAGCCCCGAGGGCGCCCAGGAAGAAGGAUGAAGCUCUCAAAGACCAGCUCUAAGGAGCUGGGGGUAUUGGUGGCGGGGCGCGGGCAUGUGAAAAAACGCAGGAUUCUGGCUCCGCUAGCUGAGAUGCAUAUGAAAGGAAUGAUUUCUGCAAGCCCAGGCUCUUGCAUCUUUUCGUACACAGAAAAGUGCUAAAUUCCUUAACUUGAGAUAUCUGUUUUUUCAUAAUUAAUAAUAAUCUUUUGAUGUUCAGACUACUUGCCCCUUGUUGCAAACUUCUAUAUAAUUUCACUCCUCCGCACCACCCCCCCACCACCACUUUAUCAGUAGCAGUUCUCUCAGGGUUACUUGGGAUGCUGUCUCCCAGGCUUGCCGUCUUAAAAUUCCCACCAAAUAAAACAUAACUCUUGACUUUUAUGUUG
This 850-nucleotide long non-coding RNA is filed under the name Bos indicus x Bos taurus (hybrid cattle). Its description in RNAcentral is "lncRNA (ENSBIXG00005018905.1)". Lineage: Eukaryota; Metazoa; Chordata; Mammalia; Artiodactyla; Bovidae. The record is from RNAcentral.